CCUACGGGUGGCAGCAGUGGGGAAUAUUGGACAAUGGGCGAAAGCCUGAUCCAGCCAUGCCGCGUGUGUGAAGAAGGCCUUCGGGUUGUAAAGCACUUUCAGUGGGGAAGAAAGCCUUGGGGCUAAUACCCUCGAGGAAGGACAUCACCCACAGAAGAAGCACCGGCUAACUCCGUGCCAGCAGCCGCGGUAAUACGGAGGGGUGCGAGCGUUAAUCGGAAUUACUGGGCGUAAAGCGCGCGUAGGCGGUCUGAUAAGCCGGUUGUGAAAGCCCCGGGCUCAACCUGGGAACGGCAUCCGGAACUGUCAGGCUAGAGUGCAGGAGAGGAAGGUAGAAUUCCCGGUGUAGCGGUGAAAUGCGUAGAGAUCGGGAGGAAUACCAGUGGCGAAGGCGGCCUUCUGGACUGACACUGACGCUGAGGUGCGAAAGCGUGGGUAGCAAACAGGAUUAGAUACCCUUGUAGUC
RNAcentral lists this ribosomal RNA (466 nucleotides) under Vreelandella stevensii. RNAcentral's name for it is "partial 16S ribosomal RNA". It matches the Rfam family "Bacterial small subunit ribosomal RNA", at positions 338 to 795 of the family's 1533-position model. Lineage: Bacteria; Pseudomonadati; Pseudomonadota; Gammaproteobacteria; Oceanospirillales; Halomonadaceae. The record is from RNAcentral.